Molecule: transfer RNA, 62 nt
Filed under: Hirudo medicinalis (medicinal leech)
Lineage: Eukaryota; Metazoa; Annelida; Clitellata; Hirudinida; Hirudinidae
Description: tRNA-Lys
Source: RNAcentral
GAUUAAAGAGCUUGAAAAUAGCAUACAAUUUUUAAUUGUAAUAUAUCUUUUGAUUUUAAUCA